Molecule: ribosomal RNA, 253 nt
Filed under: uncultured bacterium
Lineage: Bacteria
Description: partial 16S ribosomal RNA
Rfam family: Bacterial small subunit ribosomal RNA
Source: RNAcentral
UACGUAGGGUGCAAGCGUUGUCCGGAAUUAUUGGGCGUAAAGAGCUUGUAGGCGGUUUGUCGCGUCUGCUGUGAAAUUUCGGGGCUCAACCCCGAACUUGCAGUGGGUACGGGCAGACUAGAGUGUGGUAGAGGAGACUGGAAUUCCUGGUGUAGCGGUGAAAUGCGCAGAUAUCAGGAGGAACACCGAUGGCGAAGGCAGGUCUCUGGGCCAUAACUGACGCUGAGAAGCGAAAGCGUGGGGAGCAAACAGG